Molecule: ribosomal RNA, 253 nt
Filed under: uncultured bacterium
Lineage: Bacteria
Description: partial 16S ribosomal RNA
Rfam family: Bacterial small subunit ribosomal RNA
Source: RNAcentral
UACGUAGGGGGCAAGCGUUGUCCGGAAUCAUUGGGCGUAAAGCGCGCGUAGGCGGCCCGGUAAGUCCGCUGUGAAAGUCAAAGGCUCAACCUUUGAAUGCCGGUGGAUACUGUCGGGCUAGAGUCCGGAAGAGGCGAGUGGAAUUCCUGGUGUAGCGGUGGAGUGCGCAGAUAUCAGGAGGAACACCAAUAGCGAAGGCAGCUCGCUGGGACGGUACUGACGCUAAGGCGCGAAAGCGUGGGGAGCGAACAGG